RNAcentral lists this small RNA (106 nucleotides) under Flavobacteriaceae bacterium. RNAcentral's name for it is "6S RNA". It matches the Rfam family "6S-Flavo RNA". Lineage: Bacteria; Pseudomonadati; Bacteroidota; Flavobacteriia; Flavobacteriales; Flavobacteriaceae. The record is from RNAcentral. RNAcentral also lists the same sequence under 1 other name.
ACUCAACGAUAAUUCUUUAAAAAGGGUGAGUUUAGGUUGUAAAAGCGCGCCCGUUUACGGGAUACUUGAUCAAUCUGUUAGCCCUAAACUUGUUUUUAAGGAGUUU